UUUUUUUUUUUUUUUUUUUUGCCUUUUUUUUUUUCCCAAGGGGUUGGGCGUCUUAGACUUUUCAUAAAAGUA
Molecule: non-coding RNA, 72 nt
Filed under: Rhodosorus marinus
Lineage: Eukaryota; Rhodophyta; Stylonematophyceae; Stylonematales; Stylonemataceae
Source: RNAcentral